This 151-nucleotide unclassified non-coding RNA is filed under the name fungal sp. Its description in RNAcentral is "partial internal transcribed spacer region". The stretch from base 1 to 46 matches the Rfam family "Eukaryotic small subunit ribosomal RNA", at positions 1786 to 1831 of the family's 1831-position model. The record is from RNAcentral. Lineage: Eukaryota; Fungi.
AAGUCGUAACAAGGUUUCCGUAGGUGAACCUGCGGAAGGAUCAUUAGAAAUUUUUAUGUAUUCAAAAAUUUUUUCAAUCUUUUUUAUUUAUUUAUGUUAAAUAUAUAAUAAUUAUAUGAGACAACUUUCAACAACGGAUCUCUUGGCUCUU